Molecule: long non-coding RNA, 779 nt
Filed under: Anolis carolinensis (green anole)
Lineage: Eukaryota; Metazoa; Chordata; Lepidosauria; Squamata; Anolidae
Description: lncRNA (ENSACAG00000028325.2)
Source: RNAcentral
CCAUCAGCAGUGAAGGAUACAGUAACAGUCCAGCCAAAAAGAUGGAUCCAACACCUGGUGACCCAUCAGCUGCAUUGCUUCCAUCCAGCCCAUCCCAGCGCUGCUCCCUUUUACCAGGGAAGAGGGGCUGGAGCCAUAGCCAUGUCUCCGGCUGGCAACGAGACAUGACACGCAAAGGGACAUGGUUCAGGACAAGCCAAGGAGUGGUGAACUUCAGUGGUACACAGCGAUCCCGGUGCCGCCCAGGACCUCUGACUUUCAAACGCCACUUGGAGCACAGAGAUCAGGAGCCCAAUUCCAAGCAUUUUCUUUCAGAGGACAAGAUGGCUGCCCGCUUCAACUCCCUUAGCUUGGAAAAUGAUCACAUUUACAGUUCCAAUGGCUUCCCUAUCCACGACGAAGACCCCCAGUGGCAGCAGGCCUAUUCACGCCUGAAAGAGCUACAACAGAGGCUCUCCCAAGACAGAGCGCAGGACGAAACCUGCUCGGAUGACGAAGAUGAGCUCAACAACGUUAUUGUGGAUGGAGAAUACAUCAUGGGCGAGUGCCCCUUGCUGACGCACCCUUCUCUCUUACGAGCCGGACUUGGAGAAGUCGGUAUUACAGCUGAAGAACUGCUUCUUUCUCUGAAUCCUUGUACAGAGGUUGUCUUAUGGAGCCCUCACAAUAAGACAAGCUUACACACCAUUCGGACAAUGAUGGGCAUCCCCUCUUCCGCGAGCACCUCUGUAGAGGCCCAGCAAAAAGCGGCGGGAGCAGAAGAGGAAAUGGAAGUAUGA